AUCUGGGCGGCGGAAUUCAGGAUGGCUGACGUGCCUUCGCGGUACGUCGGUCGUUUGAUAUUUCCGUCGCCAACAACCGCAGACGUCGCGACCUGUUCGCGGUCGGUCCCUGCUCGGAGGAGCCGCGUUCGAGCUCGUUGUGUGCGCGUUUCGGCGUGUCACACGGCGAAGGCGCGGAUCUCUGGCUGGCCGUCGGACAGUAUGCUUAACGGUGUCCGGUGUCGUCGUUUCGUACGCGCGGCAUCGGUACCGGUCAGCGACGAAUUCUUCGGGCCUCUUUCCGACCCGUCUUGAAACACGGACCAAGGAGUCUAACAUGCGCGCGAGUCGCGGGGUAUCGAGCGUACUUCGGUGCGUUCGUUAUGUUGCGAAACCCGUACAUGUCGAAGGCGUAAUGAAAGUGAAUGGGGAAGAUGGUGUUCCGAGUUCACGUUCCGCGAUCAUCGGUAUCGCGGCCGGACGCCCGCAUUCCCGGGGCGUCUCAACGGCCCGUCGCUGAUGCGGACUGUCGUCCUUCGGGGCGGCUGUCGGUCGGCGACGAACCGA
RNAcentral lists this ribosomal RNA (546 nucleotides) under Hemiberlesia lataniae (latania scale). RNAcentral describes it as "eukaryotic LSU rRNA". The record is from RNAcentral. Lineage: Eukaryota; Metazoa; Arthropoda; Insecta; Hemiptera; Diaspididae.